CCAGUCGGCCGGACGGCCGCUGCGGCGAGUGAUCGCCGGAGAGGAAAGUCCGGGCUCCAUGGAGAUACGGCGCCGGAUAACGUCCGGCGGGGGCGACCCCAGGGAAAGUGCCACAGAGAGCAGACCGCCCGCGGCUCGUCCGCGGGUAAGGGUGAAAGGGUGCGGUAAGAGCGCACCGCGCGACCGGUAACGGAAGCGGCAUGGCAAACCCCGCCAGGAGCAAAACCGAAUAGGGGCGACGGGCGUCUCCGCUCCGCGGGGGCGCGGGCCUGUCUCCAGGUCGUCGCCCGGGUUGGUUGCUUGAGGCGUCCAGCAAUGGCCGCCCUAGAGGAAUGGCCGUCACGCGCGGAGAAGGGGCGACCCGGCUCCGCGCCAUACAGAACCCGGCUUACAGGCCGGCUGGCGCA
RNAcentral lists this RNase P RNA (407 nucleotides) under Methylopila jiangsuensis. RNAcentral's name for it is "Methylopila sp. JZL-4 Bacterial RNase P class A". It matches the Rfam family "Bacterial RNase P class A". From Rfam's summary of the family: Ribonuclease P (RNase P) is a ubiquitous endoribonuclease, found in archaea, bacteria and eukarya as well as chloroplasts and mitochondria. Its best characterised activity is the generation of mature 5'-ends of tRNAs by cleaving the 5'-leader elements of precursor-tRNAs. Lineage: Bacteria; Pseudomonadati; Pseudomonadota; Alphaproteobacteria; Hyphomicrobiales; Methylopilaceae. The record is from Rfam by way of RNAcentral.